This 1006-nucleotide long non-coding RNA is filed under the name Salmo salar (Atlantic salmon). RNAcentral describes it as "lncRNA (ENSSSAG00000117554.1)". The record is from RNAcentral. Lineage: Eukaryota; Metazoa; Chordata; Actinopteri; Salmoniformes; Salmonidae.
GGGAGACAUGUCUGUAUGUAGUGUUAUGCUAUGAGGGUAGGUUAGUGGUAGACAUGUCUGUAUGUAGUGUUAUGAUAUGAGGGUAGGUUAGUGGUAGACAUGCCUGUUUGUAGUGUUAUGAUAUGAGGGUAGGUUAGUGGUAGACAUGUCUGUAUGUAGUGUUAUGAUAUGAGGGUAGGUUAGUGGUAGACAUGUCUGUAUGUAGUGUUAUGGUAUGAGUGUAGGUUAGUGUUAGACAUGUCUGUAUGUAGUGUUAUGAUAUGAGGGUAGGUUAGUGGUAGACAUGUCUGUAUGUAGUGUUAUGAUAUGAGGGGUAGGUUAGUGUUAGACAUGUCUGUAUGUAGUGUUAUGAUGUGAGGGUAGGUUAGUGGUAGACAUGUCUGUAUGUAGUGUUAUGAUAUGAGGGGUAGGUUAAUGUUAUGAUAUGAGGGUAGGUUAGUGGUAGACAUGUCUGUAUGUAGUGUUAUGAUAUGAGGGUAGGUUAGUGGUAGACAUGUCUGUAUGUAGUGUUAUGAUAUGAGGGUAGGUUAGUGGUAGACAUGUCUGUAUGUAGUGUUAUGAUAUGAGGGGUAGGUUAGUGUUAUGAUAUGAGGGUAGGUUAGUGUUAUGAUAUGAGGGUAGGUUAGUGUUAGACAUGUCUGUAUGUAGUGUUAUGAUAUGAGGGUAGGUUAGUGGUAGACAUGUCUGUAUGUAGUGUUAUGAUAUGAGGGUAGGUUAGUGUUAUGAUAUGAGGGUAGGUUAGUGUUAGACAUGUCUGUAUGUAGUGUUAUGAUAUGAGGGUAGGUUAGUGUUAGACAUGUCUGUAUGUAGUGUUAUGAUAUGAGGGGUAGGUUAGUGUUAUGAUAUGAGGGUAGGUUAGUGUUAUGAUAUGAAGGUAGGUUAGUGUUAUGAUAUGAGGGGUAGGUUAGUGUUAUGAUAUGAGGGUAGGUUAGUGGUAGACAUGUCUGUAUGUAGUGUUAUGAUAUGAGGGGUAGGUUAGUGUUAUGAUAUGAGGGUAGGUUAGUGG